Molecule: long non-coding RNA, 1937 nt
Filed under: Salmo salar (Atlantic salmon)
Lineage: Eukaryota; Metazoa; Chordata; Actinopteri; Salmoniformes; Salmonidae
Description: lncRNA (ENSSSAG00000087597.1)
Source: RNAcentral
ACAUAGUCCCCCCAUUUUAGGGGACCAAAAGUAUUGGGACUAAUUCACUUCUAUGUGUAUUAAAGUAGUCAAGUGUAGUAGUAUUUGGUCCCAUAUUCCUAGCACUCAAUGAUUACAUCAAGCUUGUGACUCUACAAACUGGUUGGAUGCAUUUGCUGUUUGUCUUGGAUGUGUUUCAGAUUAUUUUGUUCCCAACAGAAAUAAAUAAUGUAUUGUGCCAUUUUGGAGUCACUUUAUUGUAAAUGUUUCUAAACACAUCUACAUUAAUUUGAAUGUUACCAUGAUUGAGGAUAGUCCUGAAUAAAUUGUGAAUAAUGAUGAGUGAGAAAGUUACAGAUGCACAAAUAGCAUAUCCCCCCCAAAAACCUUCAGUUAUUGUAAUAGUGAGAGGUUAGCAUGUCUUUGGGGUAUGAUAUUUGUGUCUAACUUUUUCACUCAUUAUUCAAUGCAUCCAACAAGUUUCUAGAGUCACAAGCUUGAUGUAAUCAUUGCGUGCUAGGAAUAUGGGUCCAAAUACUACACUUUUGACUACUUUAAUACACAUGAGUGAAUUUGGCCCGAUACUUUUGGUCCCCUAAAAUGGGGGGACUAUGUACAAAAAGUGCUGUAAUUUCUAAACGGUACACCUGAUACGGAUGAAAACCCUCAAAUGAAAGCUGUCAGUCUGCUCUCAUUGUAUUAUUUACAAUACAAAACUACAACAAAAAAGUGUCACUGUCCCAAUACUUUUGGAACUCACUGUAUAUUUUUGGAACGUAUGUUCAGAAAUAUGAGGCAGAGACAUAGGCUACAUCAUCAUAUCGAUCUAAUUGGUUGAGGGUUCAGAAGAGGGCGAGCAAAGAGAGAAACAUGACUGUGUGUGAAUAACACAUGCACAGUAUGGGAUUUGGAUUCUUAGAUUUGAGAGAGAAGUUUCCAGAAGGGGAGGGACUGGAGCAGAAACUCUGUAUUCGUAGCCUCGGCCUAAAAAGAAACUCCACCACACUGGAGAUCUUGAUCCUCCACAACUGCAUCAAUCUGAAAACACCAAAUAUAAUGGCAGAAAUCAUAUUAGAUGAUUUUGCUUCCACCUAUCCAGCCGUUUCAUUCAGAUCAAUGCAGAAGACGAAGGAUAGGACACAAGGUCAGGGUGCCGCUGUUGACUAUUGGGACGCAGGCACUCUGUCAGAUGGGCUGUAGUGUAGCAUGGGUGAAAAAGGCUACUGAUCUGUCUGAUUAGCACAAUACUUGAGCAUUCUAAAGAACUGCACUUUCAACUAAAGAGCAACAUGUGUUCUCUCUGAAGUGGCACUCAGGGAGAACCGGCAAGCAGUGGGUGUGUGCCUCCUGAAGGGUAGCCACCCUGUGAUUCUUGCAGGUCCCUGCCCUCUGCUGGUGAAAGUGCAUUUUUACAACAAGCCAAGAAAGCAGUGUGCCACCAAUCUCCUAAUUAUCCAUCUCCAUCAAAUACACAUCUAACCCCUCACAUGUCAAAAUAUACCUGAAUUUAACAAUGCUGUCAUAGUGAAUAAAAAAGCUGUAGUGCUGGUUGCCCUUGGCGCCCAUGUGGAGUGUCUGACUGUUUGCCAUUCACCUGGCUCCUCAUCGAGGGAAGUUCCUGAAGCUGCCUGUCAUCAUGGUUACACUGUUCUCUUCUCAUUGCCGUCUCAGUGAUGAAAGUAAUACGUGUGUGAUGGUGUGGGGAUGCUUUGCUGGUGACACUGUCUGUGAUUUAUUUAGAAAUCUUAUCCAGCAUGGCUACCACAGCAUUCGGCAGCGAUACAACAUCCCAUCUGGUUUGCGCUUAGUGGGACUAUCAGUUGUUUUUCAACAGGACAAUGACCCAACACACCUCCAGGCUGUGUAAGGGCUAUUUGACCAAGAAGGAGAGUGAUGGAGUGCUGCAUCAGAGGAACUGGCCUCCACAAUCACCCGAUCUCAAUCCAAUUGAGAUGGUU